UAUUCUUGAUCUGAUGCACCUGAAGGACGGACUUCCACUAUUUAAGUGAGGGCUGGGUGAGGAAGGAGCACGAGACCACGCAUCUGCUCUUGUCUGGAAUAGGACUUAUGUAACACAGAGUUGGAGGAGGCGUUGUACCAGUGCCCUGCCCUGCCAGGGGUGAUGGUGUAACUCUGGGGAAAAAUAUUCCUGUGUUCUUGGCUGCAGCUCCCUGGAGUGGAGCUGACAUGAUGAGCUGGAGAAAGAGAAGAACCCAGGAAACAAGAUCCUUCAUGGUGAACAUGGGCUGAGUCUCAAGACCAAACAACUGAGCUGUGAGGAUUCUGCCAGAUGCUCCAAGGCUCCAGUCCCUUGUAACACCAUAUCAUCCCUUGGCUCUUUUGCUAACCUUUGGGUUGCAUCACCAGUUUCUAUUUAGAUUUUCAGCUCUAACAGGAGGGAAAAAAAUCAAGAAUGUUGCCCAGAUUUCAGCUUUAAUUGGGCACAUAGAUUAGAAAAUAGGUACAGAUUUGAAAGAGAUGGGUCAGUAAUUUAUUUUUGGACAUGCUCUUCUCGAUACAUUCAAAUGCAAACAUCUAAGAGGUCUAGAAUUCACAGCAGAUUCUAAGUUACAAAUCUCUAGAUUAUUAGUGAUGGUGCUUAUAGUCAUAGAUACGGAUAGAUUAUCCAGGGGAAAAUGUAGAGAGAUAAAAGAAAGGGGAUUUGGACAGAAUCUUAAAGAAUGUGAAGUUGGCUGGUGAAGAAAGAACCUGCAAAAGAUGUUAGCAAAGAGCUGAGAAUUUCCUGGAUUGAGUUUAGUGAAACCAGUAGAAUAUAUAGAAUAUCUCUACCAUGUAUCUCUCCUAUUUUAUAAAUUACAUUGCCAAAUAAAACAUCAACCCAAAACCGGUAAAAUUAGCUGUGGGCACUGAGCAAUAGGAGAAAAAAAAAGACAAGAAUCUUUGCAAAUGAUUAAUUCCAUCUUAAGUAAAAUACUUGGCAGUCUUGGUUUAGAUGCCCAUUUUGAUUUUGAGUUACUUGCUCUGUGAUUGUGGCAGGACUGCAGCCUGUAUCUGGGUAGGCUUGGGGUUGAAAAGCCCAACCUAGUCUAGCAGGUCAGUGCAGCUGAAAUCCAGUCCAUUCUCCUGUAGGCAAACUGUGAACCCUGGUUCAGAGCUAUUUCUGCUAGAGGAAAGGAGGCUUUUUGUAAACCUCUACCUUUGUGGAAAAAAAGCUUCUCCAAUACAUACAGAAGUACUUGUGCAUUAGCAGUGGCUUUGGGACAGGAGAGUAUAGGGCUGUGCUACCCACCUCAAUUUUAGGCUAAACCACCUAUGAUGUCAAGUCUUAGGCAAAAUCUAGGCCACAUUGCUGAAAUUUUGAGAGUUGCUUUUCUCAAGAUACAAUCCCUUCACUAUCAGUAUCAGAAUCACCCAAGAAGGCACUUUCUAGGAUCCCACACUGAAACUCAAGAAUUCACAUCUGUGGGAAUAGGAUACAGCACUUCAGGCUUUCGGAGGCAUAUCAAGGGCAUUGUUAUGCACAACAGAGAACAAACAACUGCCAGAGGAAUACCUGCAAUACAGACCUAAUUUGGGAAACAUCUGCUUGACUCUGGUCUUGACUUGACGAUCUUAUUUCUGAGGACUGAAAAAAAAUCACACAUCACAUUGAUAUUGGACCUUUAGUGAGGGUGGAGGUGGAUACAAACCUGUAACUUAAAUCACUCCUUUAUGCUCCUCUUACCCUGUAAAAUUCUCCUGAAAGUAUCCAGAGAAUGGCUAUGAAGAUGCACUGAUUACACCCAUACACAGGUGAAUGUAAUGUAUGAUAUUUAAGCACAUUUUCUAGUAAAAUAUUCAAAAGACUAUUCAUCUUUGAAUGAUCCCACUCUUAAUGCUUUCCUCCUGGCCACUUCCACCCCCUACCAUCCUGUACUUUGUCAUGAAAGUCGUCAUCUUAGAACAGCCGGACGGACCAACCACACCCCUGCUGCUCUUCUCCAUUCCACCUAUGGCAUCCUGUGAUCUCUAGGGUCCCGAAUCCAGUCUCCCUUCAUUUUCCACUUGUGUGUUUACUUUCAUUUUUUUAUUUAUUCCAUCGAAGGUAUUCAACACUAGAGUAUAAACCUCUUCUCCCUUGUCAACUGAAGAUCCAGUGCCCAUCUUGGCAUGGGCAAUCAAUGCAUAUUUGCUGGAUGAAGACACUGAAAAAAAAAAGGACCUCAGGGGGAAGAAUUUAGGGUUGGGGAAUUUACCUGUCCCCUUUUAACUGUGCUUGUGAAUUGCUGAUCCUUAAUUAGAGAUAUGCCAUAAAGUAAGUUUGUUUCAAUGAAAGUCUUGGGCAUCUUUCAGAAAUCACUUCUCUGUCAAGUGUUUCCAGUUGAAGAAUUCAGAAACUAGAGCCAUAGAAAUUGCUGUGAUGAGUGCCUUUCCCAAUACUUUAUUAAUUUGUAAUGAGAACACAUGAAAGCAACCCUGAUGUUUGCUCAGUUUCUCUAAACUCCUCAAGCGUACUCCUCCUGCCUUCCUAAAAAAGAUGCAUGUCUGGAGGGAGGUGAAACAGCCAUUAAUCCUGGAAGGUAUUUGUCCUCCUUUCUUUUGACAUUUUAUUGCCCUUUAGCUCAUUUGUGAAAGAUAUCAAAGCUGAAGCAGACUAGGGAAUAAAAGGCCUUUUCAUUAAAAUGGCCAAUCUGCAUAGAUCUCUUUGUUCUUCCCUGUGGAAAGACUUUUGAUCAGUACAUGAGGAGAGACUUUAUGAGAAAAGAAAGUUAGGACAAUUUUAUGUCAAUAGAUAGAAUAUCAGAGCAAAAUACACAGAUUCUACUUAGGAAGAUAAAAUUAUUUUCAAGCCGUAAUUAUGAAGUUAUUCCUAGCUGAAAGUAGAGCAAUGAAAAAAGGACUAUGUUUACUAGCAGUGUGGUUGCUUACUUUAGAACAUAGGUUAAGACAAAGACAGAGAUUCUCAAGGGGCAUCCUAUUGCUGUCUGGAGGGAAAUGCAUCACUUACAGGGCCUUAGCCUCAGUUAGAGUACUUUGGCCAUUAUUUGUUUUUAACUUCCACUCUGUAGGGUAGGGGAAAAAAUAAAUGCUCUUUUUCCCCCAUCAGCUUUUUGAUCUCUGCUUUUAGCAAUGCUCCUUUCUGAUAGGGAACUUGGUAAAUUGUACACGUAAAAGACCUGUGUUUAUGAAACAUGGAACAGGGUUUGAGAUAAUUGAGUGUUUUUUAAACAUAAGACAUUUGUGAUAAUAAUCUGCUAAUUAUUAAGUAUUUUUGUUUAUAUUGGGAUGUAUUUCUAUGGAUUUUGAAUUGAAUUUCUUGUAGCAUUCUUUGAUUAAUUCAAAUAGGUAAAAUUACAAAUGUACAAAAAUAUGAAAAAGGGAACAAAAUCAUGACUUGCAGUGGCUUGAACCAGGAAUGAAAAUGUUAAUAUUUUAGCAAAUUUCCUUGUACUGCUGUACAGAGAUGUGUAGUACAAUUGGACAUAUAUAUGUAUAUUCAUUUAUAUAUUAAGCCCAAUUGUCUGACUACUUCUAGCACACGAAUAUAAAUGAAGUUACUUUCAUAUCCUCAAUAAAUAACAAUCAGCACCUAGUAUGUGCAGAGCACUCUUAGUCACAAGGAAUUUAACAAUAAAACAAAACCAAACCCAAAUCUCUGCCUUCUGAGAGUUCAUUCGUGGAUUCAACCAACUGGGAAUAUAAAAUAUUUAGAAAAAAAUCCAGAAAGUUCUAAAAAUCAAAAUUUGAAUUCGCCGCUUCCUGGCAAUAACUUACAUAGCAUUUACAUUGUACUAGGCAUUAUAUGUCAUCUAGAGAUGAUUUAAAGUACACAGGAGGAUAUGCAUAGGUUAUAUGCUAAUACCAUGCAUUUCAUACAAAGGACUUGAGUAUCAAAAGAUAUUGAGUCCUGAACCCAAUCCCCUGUGGAUGGCUACUAUACUUCUUCAGUUCCAGUUUCUUCUUUACACUCCUUUGAGUGCAGAUUUUGAACUUCGGAUCUGGGCCCAUUCUGGCUUCCCAGAGCCAGACCCUGCA
Molecule: long non-coding RNA, 4016 nt
Organism: Sus scrofa (pig)
Lineage: Eukaryota; Metazoa; Chordata; Mammalia; Artiodactyla; Suidae
Source: RefSeq, a predicted model, not a curated record